GUUUUGGCAAGCAUGAGAGCUUUUACUGGGCAAGAAGACAAGAGAUGGAGAGUCCAGCCGGGCCUGCGCUUAAGUGCGCGGUCUUGCUAGGCUUGUAAGUUUCUUUCUUGCUAUUCCAAACGGUGAGAGAUUUCUGUGCUUUUGUUAUAGGACAAUUAAAACCGUUUCAAUACAACACACUGUGGAGUUUUCAUAUCUUUGCAACUUUUUCUUUGGGCAUUCGAGCAAUCGGGGCCCAGAGGUAACAAACACAAACAAUUUUAUCUAUUCAUCAAAUUUUUGUCAAAAACAAGAAUUUUCGUAACUGGAAAUUUUAAAAUAUUAAAAACUUUCAACAACGGAUCUCUUGGUUCUCGCAUCGAUGAACAACGCAGCGAAAUGCGAUACGUAAUGUGAAUUGCAGAAUUCCGUGAAUCAUCGAAUCUUUGAACGCACAUUGCGCCCCUUGGUAUUCCAGGGGGCAUGCCUGUUUGAGCGUCAUUUCCUUCUCAAACAUUCUGUUUGGUAGUGAGUGAUACUCUUUGGAGUUAACUUGAAAUUGCUGGCCUUUUCAUUGGAUGUUUUUUUUCCAAAGAGAGGUUUCUCUGCGUGCUUGAGGUAUAAUGCAAGUACGGUCGUUUUAGGUUUUACCAACUGCGGCUAAUC
RNAcentral lists this ribosomal RNA (645 nucleotides) under Saccharomyces cerevisiae (brewer's yeast). Its description in RNAcentral is "eukaryotic LSU rRNA". The stretch from base 327 to 480 matches the Rfam family "5.8S ribosomal RNA". The record is from RNAcentral. Lineage: Eukaryota; Fungi; Ascomycota; Saccharomycetes; Saccharomycetales; Saccharomycetaceae.